CCCCCGUCUGGAGGCGAGACAGAGGGAGGGGAGGAUGACAGGUGAAACAGGAAGUGAACAGAUGAGUAGGAACAGGGUGGUUGUGCUCGACAGUUGCAGUAAUUGAACCUCGUCUGCCUGACGAAAAAAAACGGUUAUGAAUUCUGAGAUUCUGAUGUUAAUGCUCUAUUAUUUUCUAACAGAAAUCUUGUGGUAUCACACUGAACUCUGACUGUUCCCGGCUCCAGUCAGCAAAUCACUUUAUCCUUAUCCUUAUUCAGUUAUUUGAACCAUUUAACUCUGUUUCAGAGAGAAUGUAGAAAGAAGACUAAGAUGUCCUCAUCAGAAAUGUUGCUGAAGAGACUUUCAGCUUUGUUUGUGUACAACACGUAAAACGUGGGGCCGACCUUGUGAAGCAGCUUCCUGCGGAGGUGCCUCCCCAGCAGGCCGUGCAUCGGCUCCUGGUCCCAGCGAAGAGUCACCCAGCGGAAGUGCUGCUGGAGGCGGAGCUCGGAGCCCUGCAGCCGUGGCCUCGACAGCGUGGCGAUCAAGAAACUGCCCUCACAGAAAUGGUGGGGACCUGAGCGACCAAUGGAUAGGGAAACUGGGUUGAUUCAUUUUGCGUUACUGUUAUUUGGCGGCACGACAUGACACUUAUGACGUAAUUAGUUUCAGGACAGUCUAAGAAUUAUCUUGUAUAUUCGGUGCAUUUGCUUGUACAAUUAUUCUGUUUCAUGACACUGAUGUAGGGCUGCAACUAACGAUUAUUUCAUCAUCGAUUAAUCGAUUAGUUGUUUGGUCCAUAAAGAGUCAUAAAAUGGGGUGAAGAAUGCCAAAGUGUUCCCCAAACUCCCAAGACGACGUGUAGUUUUGUCCACACACGACAGAUAUUUAGUUUACUGCAUAGAGGAGCAAAGAAACCAGAAAAUAUUCACAUUUAGGAAGCUGAAAUCAGAGAAUUUUUACUUUUUUACUCCAGUAGUAGUAAGCAAUUAAUUUAGCCGUCGAUCAUUAACUGUUGCAGCUCUACUGUGAUGUGUUAAUAUCACUAAUCCUGCAAGAAACUGCCGCAUCUGAGGACAUGGAACUGAAUUAUAACUUUUGUAAGAUAUAGUAACCUGAACGGUGCAUCUAGCAAAAUUAUACUUUGUUUGAAAGAUCUAUGUAUGUAUUUGUAUUUUUGAGUGUCCAAAUCACUGCGACAACGGCUGACAGACGUGGUUCAGUCUCACGGCUACAGAUCCAACAUGUGUUGGUCCAACACUACGGGCCUAUUAUUUUCAUAAAAAAUUACUUUUGAAAAAAAUUGUUGUAUUGACAGACGCCUGACGUAUUUAUCUGUUGCCUGCGGCCGGCAGUAAUGCUGGUUAGUAAAAUGUUUUUGUAUGUGAAGUGGGACUGUUGCAUCGGCAUAUUUUACUCUGGGUCGAGUCUGUCACCACUGCCGGCUACCGUAACUGAUCAGACUGAUCAGGCCCAGAGUCUGGCUGCAGGCGUACCAGUGUUGAGGACCAGCGGUGAAGCGGAGCCCCUGUUGUCCAGGCUGUGGCAGAGGUCUCCCAGCAGGCCGGUGAGGGACGACGCCUUCUCCAGCCCUUCCAGGAGCACGACCACACAGCGACCAGAGCGACCACGGGACAGACCCCCAGCCCCCGCCGCCGGCACAAGGAAACCUGAGACGGAGAGGAGAGGGAGGCAUGAGGCGUGGGAGGCAGGGGGUGGAGACGUGUCUGGCUUUUUUAUUACAUCACAUACAUUGUGAUAGUAUGCUGUAUAUUAUUAUUAUUCCUUUUUUUCAUAACCAAGUGCUAUCAUGGUUAAGUAGUUAUGAUCAAGUUGAAUUACUUUGGUUAAGAAAAUGUCAGAAAAUAGUGAAAGUGCAGUUUCUUUUUCAAAAGGCAGAAGACAAAGAUUAAACCAGAUUUGGAAUCAGAGCAAUUGAUUGUAAAAUCUGAAAUCUAUCAAUGGGUAUGACAAAUCAACUAACUGAUUCAACAAUUCAUUGUUUCAAUGAAGACGUGCAAAAAACAACGCAUCUGAAAAAACCCUUUGCUUUGCUAUGUAAAACCUGUACAUGGAUGUACAGUAUUCAUUCGUGUGUGUGUCUUAUUACCACAGGUGAUGAAGGUCUCCAGCAGCUGCUCUUUGGUCAGGCUUUCCUCCACCUCCACCCUCACCACGUCACAGCCGAGCCCCCCCGCCUCCUGCUUGGACUGGGAGACGGAAAGAGAGAGAGGGGAGGGGCGAGAUGAGCGACGAGAUAGAGAGAGAGGCGAGGAGGAAGCACAUCUCCAUGGAAACAAAAGGAAAUCUACUACUACUACUACUACUGUAUGCGCAGAGUAAAGUGGAGCAGGAGGAGAAUUUGAAUGAGUACAAAGGGCUCUUCUUCUGCCGAAGGGAAUCACGAUGCUGCUUCACUCUCCUUUGUUUCUCCUACUGUCGCACAGCAGCCAGUUUAUUAGGAACGUGCAGUCCUGAAAUAAUCCUCCCCUCAUGAAGGUUACGACGUUUGUGUUCAUUAAACUCUGUGAUCGUAAUGUAAUGUUCCUAUUAUGUCACACCACUCUACACAUUGUAAUACAUGUGAACAGCACCACAAACAACUCUUAACUACACAUUAUCACCUUCAUGAAGGAUUAUUAUGUUAGAAUAUUAGUGUUAGUUAGGUCUCCCCCCCACAGAUACUGGGUGUAAAGUCUUUUUUUAAAGAGGACAAUGGCAAUAAAAAAAUGUUUUUACAUUCUUUUGAAAAUGUAUAUGAGAACCAUCUUGAUCAUCUUGUCAUGUAAUCGAGAAAAAAAGGGUAUUUCUUCAUCUGUUCAUAUCAGAUUUCUGUGCCUGUGUGAGGCCGUUAUCAUGGUAACACCUCAGGCCGAGCACUGCAGUGAUUCUAUCAGCUUUUUUAUGAAAACACAACCACUGACUGCUAUCAGUGUAAAUUAUGAAAUUGGUGAUAUAGUUUAUUACGAGUCCCUGACCUGUGGAUGUACUUUACUGAAGCAGGACUAUGUUUCAUCAUGUUGCGGUGAUAUAGAAUCUACCAGUUAAUUUGUAUCUUAUAUUGAACAACAGCUGCUCUGCACAUUAUUGUAUAUAGUGUUUGUAGUUGUUAUUGCAUAGUAUUUAGUAUCUGAUUUACUUUAGAUCCUGUUUCUAUUCCACUUUUAUGUUUCUUUUAUGUUUCUUUCAAAAUCAAUAAAGGUUCAUCUUAUAAUAGUGA
This is a long non-coding RNA of Scophthalmus maximus (turbot), 3202 nucleotides long. RefSeq lists it as uncharacterized. The record is from RefSeq and is a predicted model, not a curated record. The transcript has 2 exons. Lineage: Eukaryota; Metazoa; Chordata; Actinopteri; Pleuronectiformes; Scophthalmidae.